Long non-coding RNA from Mizuhopecten yessoensis (Yesso scallop), 3020 nucleotides. RefSeq lists it as uncharacterized. Lineage: Eukaryota; Metazoa; Mollusca; Bivalvia; Pectinida; Pectinidae. The transcript is spliced from 2 exons. The record is from RefSeq and is a predicted model, not a curated record.
GUCGACAGAGUUGUUUCCCUUUGAUCAUACAUCAUCCGAUUUGAUUGACCUGAUUCCUACUGACUGGGCACCGUCUUUAUAUCUUAUGACAGACAAGGUUCCCGUGCUGCACAGUGUCUGACGGCAACUCGGUAAGUGAAGGUUCAACUGACCAGUGUCGGUGAAGUGUCGGCUAGGACCAGAUUUGUUUAAGUAACCAGUGAGAGUGAAGUGUCCAGAGAAAUGGCUAACUGCGGCUGGCUUUGGUCUGUAAUAUGGGUGAUUAUACUACUAGUUUUUGGCUGGCCCAUCGGAUUGAUCUGUGCCCUCUUCUACUGUAUGCUAAGUCCAUUUGCUGCCUGUUGCCACGGCUGUAGCGAACUCAUCAACCUGUUGGAUAGAGGUGUCAAACUUCCUUUGACUUGUGCUCAAAAUAUGGUCGCAGGAAAGUCCAUGUGUUGAUGUUCAUGCUAGCCAAGCUGUAUGUAGACAGUCAGAUGGGGAGCCCCAAGUGCAAUAUAAUAGGACUUCAGUCUUGUGGAAAAGUAAAAUGUGUGAAACAGGAAUUAUAUCUCAGGAUCCUUUGUGGAAAUUUAUUCCACUUAGACUAUGGGAACAAGAUGACUGCAUACCACUUUUUUUGUUUUCGUCCCAAGAUCUCAAUAAAUCCUGAUAUUAAUAGCUACUAAAGUGUAUCAGCUUAUGGAAGGAGAUUAGAUAUUCAGUAAUCAGCAAGACUUACUAGUAACUUAAUGAAAUUUAAGUGAUUUUGCCAAAGAAAAUUUGAAGAACAUUCAAUUUGGUGAAGGAUUAUUAGCACGACUCCUAUCCGACAAUUUUUUCUUUUCCUUUUAACAAAAUGUUUAUGCAGAGGGUGCAUGCUGCCUCACUAUUUAUCUGCUUUACAAUAUAUUCCCCCCACAUAGCAAACUAUUGGAUCUAAAUCACUUGCGUUAAUUUUCACUUGCGUUAAUUAAGGAUCUUACUUUUAUUUUACCUCACUGCGUCCAAAGACCUUUUAAGUUUAUGCAAGGCACAGCAUCUUUUUGUCAGAAACUUUCUUUUAAAAAAGACUACUAGUCAUGAGCAGCUAAGUCAAUUUCAAUAAAACAUUUUUAUAUAAAUGUGGACUAGUACACUAAGAACCUGCCAUGGCCCUGAUAAGGUAUUAACCUGGUGAGCCAGGGUCUCUUUAAAAACAAGUUUCAUUUUUUUCCAAAAUAUUAUACAACUAAAAGCUUUUACAUUUGUUAUACAAUUUAUCAUUAUUUUUAUAUAUCAAGCUGAAUAUAUUGUUGUGAUUUACAGAUAUUACAUUUUACUUUCUCUAUUUUGUGCAAGAUCUGCAAAGAGGUCAGAGCCUGUGGUUGCUCAUAUUCUGUUGUUUUUUUGUUUUGUUUUUUCACAUAAACUACAAGUUAAGGUUUGUAUUAGGAGUUAAAAAUGAUUUGAAUGUCAUUUAAGUUCAAAGCGCUCCCUGAUAAAAAUGCGGCAGAAUCAUUUUGUAAACUAUUUGUUAAACAACUAAUCAAACCAAACUGGUACCCUAUGGUUGCCUCUGGUGUAGUCCGAGUUUCCUCUGGCCCUGGCACCAGAUAUCUAUCUGCCAAAAUGUCUGAGUCUGGUGCCAGAGGAAACCCGGUCUACCUCUGGUGAUUAUCUGAUGUAUGAGUUGGCCCUGUUUUUAUGUCAUUCCAAUUAAUUUAUCUCAUCCACAUAUUUUAUUUGGUAAUUAUUCAUACAUCACAUGCAAACUAUUUUCUUAAAAGUGUGGCAUGAGUCGAAUCUUGAUCUCACAUUUUAAAAAAAUCCCUAGUAAAUUAUUAAUGUCUUCUGUGCCCAUGUUGAAUGAUGUACAUUGUACUUGUAUUUUGUACUUUGUGUUACCUCAAGCCUUUCUUCCUAGUAAAUCUUGCCAUCCGUUUAUAUCUAAAAUGUAUCCCAGAUUUCCUGUUUAAUAUUACUGGGUUUAUUUUUUAAGGUUGUAGGUAUAAUUUUAUUAUACAAAUGUACCUGUAUUGAUAUUGUACAACAACUAAAGUGCUUAUGUCGAAAAUGUAUAACUAUGGAAUGCCAAUCUUUAGAUGUUUAGAUAUUUUUGUUAUGGUAGUUUGUUUUAUAUUUAUAUAAUAUUCUCUAUAUAUAUAUAUAUAUAUAUACCUCUCUUCUGUGCCUUUACAUGAUGAUCAGCUCCUUGAUCAUAAAAAUCUUACUGAGUGAAUUAAGAAUUUUCAUCAUUAAUAAUAAAAAUCUGUGAAAUAAAUCAAACUUUAGUAAACUAUAUGUAAUACAUGCAUGUACCUGGUAUUUGAAGUAUAUAAAGUACAUACAAAAUGUUCUGAUGCGACAUAAUAGAAAUAAACAACAUCCAAGUAUGCACCUGAAUAGGUGAUUUACUACCUUCAACAUUCUACAAGUGAUUUGUGUUUAGAUUGAUUGAUAUUUUAUUAAUUGAGCAUAAAAAUUGGAUUCUGUUCCGAGUUGUGUACCUGUAACAAUCUGGACAGAAUCUCAGAAAACAUUUUUGGAAAUUAUCAUUAUUUUUGACAGAAGGCAGUAAUACUUACAUGGUUAAUUUUCAUUGACAAGCACAAUAAAUGUAUACUUAAAAUUUGAGACAGAUUUACAAUAUUAAAAUGGAGCAGCCAAAAGCUAGAAUCAUCAGUUUGCUAUCUCCAACAUGAUGAUUUUGACAUCACUUUGUAUUUUUUCUACGAUCAUGGGGCUAGAACUGUCAAAAGCAACCUGCUUUGCAGUAAACUUGAUGAAUACUUGGUCAAAAGAUUUCCUUCUGAAAUUAUUAGAAAAUGUUGUGGUUUAUUCUGUAUUCUAAAACAUACACUAACAUUUGUCCACAACUCUUGUUAUGUACAUAUACCAUAAAGUGCUUUUACUAUAAACAGAAAUUUGCAUCAUAAUCUCAUGCAAACACAAUUUAAAGAAAUUAAGGGCAUUGCUAUUUGCUUUUCGUUCAAGUUGCUAAUUGUAGCAUGUUUAGCAGUAAGAACUUUAUAAUUUUAAUAAAGAUACUAUUGUACAUA